RNAcentral lists this ribosomal RNA (468 nucleotides) under uncultured bacterium. RNAcentral describes it as "partial 16S ribosomal RNA". It matches the Rfam family "Bacterial small subunit ribosomal RNA", at positions 28 to 507 of the family's 1533-position model. The record is from RNAcentral.
GACGAACGCUGGCGGCGUGCUUAACACAUGCAAGUCGAACGGAAAGGCCCUGCUUUUGUGGGGUGCUCGAGUGGCGAACGGGUGAGUAACACGUGAGUAACCUGCCCUUGACUUUGGGAUAACUUCAGGAAACUGGGGCUAAUACCGGAUAGGAGCUCCUGCUGCAUGGUGGGGGUUGGAAAGUUUCGGCGGUUGGGGAUGGACUCGCGGCUUAUCAGCUUGUUGGUGGGGUAGUGGCUUACCAAGGCUUUGACGGGUAGCCGGCCUGAGAGGGUGACCGGCCACAUUGGUACUGAGAUACGGCCCAGACUCCUACGGGAGGCAGCAGUGGAGAAUAUUGCACAAUGGGCGGAAGCCUGAUGCAGCAACGCCGCGUGCGGGAUGACGGCCUUCGGGUUGUAAACCGCUUUCGCCUGUGACGAAGCGUGAGUGACGGUAAUGGGUAAAGAAGCACCGGCUAACUACGUG